RNAcentral lists this ribosomal RNA (254 nucleotides) under uncultured bacterium. Its description in RNAcentral is "partial 16S ribosomal RNA". It matches the Rfam family "Bacterial small subunit ribosomal RNA", at positions 524 to 776 of the family's 1533-position model. The record is from RNAcentral.
UACGUAGGGAGCAAGCGUUGUCCGGAAUCAUUGGGCGUAAAGCGCACGUAGGCGGUUCGUUAUGUCGGAUGUGAAAAGCCCUUGGCUUAACCGAGGAAGUGCAUCCGAAACUGGCGAGCUAGAGUACGAAAGAGGAUCGCGGAAUUCCCGGUGUAGAGGUGAAAUUCGUAGAUAUCGGGAGGAACACCAGUGGCGAAGGCGGUUGCCUGGAGCUUUGCUGACGCUGAGGCGCGAAAGCGUGGGGAGCGAUCCGG